AAUGAACGCUGGCGGUAGGCCUAAUACAUGCAAGUCGAACGGACACACAAUCAGAGUUUGCCCCUGCGGGUGGCGAGUGGCGGACGGGUCAAAAAUACAUAAUAAACUACUAUUUCUUGGGUGAUAUCGUAGAAAAACUUACGCUAACGCAUCAUACGAUCUACGGCUGUAAUCAGUGGAUCUUCACGCCUUGGGCGAUUGCAUGAGCCGACGUCGGAUUAGCUUGUUGGGGGGGUAAAGUACCACCAAGGCGACGAUCCGUAGCUUGUCUGAGAGGAUGAUCAGCCACACUGGAACUGAGACACGGUCCAGACUCCUACGGGAGGCAGCAGUGGGGAAUAUUGGACAAUGGGCGAAAGCCUGAUCCAGCAAUACCGCGUGGGUGAAGAAGGUCUUCGGGUCGUAAAGCCCUUUUAUUGGGAAAGAAAAGCAGCAGGUUAAUCUCCCGCUGUCCUGACGGUACCCAAUGAAUAAGCACCGGCUAACUUCGUG
RNAcentral lists this ribosomal RNA (492 nucleotides) under uncultured bacterium. Its description in RNAcentral is "partial 16S ribosomal RNA". It matches the Rfam family "Bacterial small subunit ribosomal RNA", at positions 29 to 507 of the family's 1533-position model. The record is from RNAcentral.